Pelobates cultripes (western spadefoot toad) is the source of this 181-nucleotide non-coding RNA. The record is from the annotation of a GenBank genome assembly. NCBI's taxonomy places the organism in Eukaryota, Metazoa, Chordata, Amphibia, Anura, Pelobatidae.
GCGGACUAACCACAGGUAAUGGAUGCGGCUAAGUCCUUAAUUUCCCUCCCAGCAUUAUACCCUCUGCACUUGCAGUGAUUACUUUUGGACUUUUCUAUUUUGAUUUAUAGAUACAUAGUUUUUGGGUAGUUUGGGAGGGAAAUUAAGGACUUAGCCGCAUCCAUUACCUGUGGUUAGUCCG